RNAcentral lists this ribosomal RNA (300 nucleotides) under uncultured bacterium. RNAcentral's name for it is "bacterial SSU rRNA". It matches the Rfam family "Bacterial small subunit ribosomal RNA", at positions 114 to 430 of the family's 1533-position model. The record is from RNAcentral.
CACGUGAGAAUCUGCCCUUAGGAGGAGGAUAACAGCUGGAAACGGUUGCUAAUACUCCAUAUGCCGAGAGGUGAAAGGAUUUAUCUGCCUAAGGAGGAGCUCGCGUCUGAUUAGCUAGUUGGUAGGGUAAUAGCCUACCAAGGCGACGAUCAGUAGCUGGUUUGAGAGGAUGAUCAGCCACACUGGGACUGAGACACGGCCCAGACUCCUACGGGAGGCAGCAGUAGGGAAUUUUCCGCAAUGGGCGAAAGCCUGACGGAGCAAUACCGCGUGAGGGAUGACGGCCUGUGGGUUGUAAAC